GGGUCAGUAGGUUGGUCGUGCCACCGGUACGUACUGGUCUCACUGAUUCCUCCUUCCUGAAGAACGUAAUGCCAUUAAUUUGGUGUUGCGGGGAAACAGGACUGUUACUUUGAAAAAAUUAGAGUGUUUAAAGCAAGCUAACGCUUGAAUACAUUAGCAUGGAAUAAUGAAAUAGGACGAUCGAUCCUAUUUUGUUGGUUUCUAGGAUUGACGUA
RNAcentral lists this ribosomal RNA (215 nucleotides) under Glomeromycotina sp. Its description in RNAcentral is "partial small subunit ribosomal RNA". The stretch from base 74 to 215 matches the Rfam family "Eukaryotic small subunit ribosomal RNA", at positions 721 to 864 of the family's 1831-position model. Lineage: Eukaryota; Fungi; Glomeromycota. The record is from RNAcentral.